This 269-nucleotide ribosomal RNA is filed under the name uncultured bacterium. Its description in RNAcentral is "partial small subunit ribosomal RNA". It matches the Rfam family "Bacterial small subunit ribosomal RNA", at positions 26 to 286 of the family's 1533-position model. The record is from RNAcentral.
AGAGCGAACGCUGGCGGCGUGCUUAACACAUGCAAGUCGUACGCGCAGCAUUCUGUAGCAAUACAGGGUGUGGGCGCGUGGCGAACGGGUGCGUAACACGUGGAUAACCUUCCUUCAGGUGGGAAUAACCCAGUGAAAAUUGGGCUAAUACCGCAUAACAUGACGGUGGCAUAUGCUACUGUCCUCAAAGCCGCAAGGCGCCAGAAGAGGGAUCCGCGGCCGAUUAGCUUGUUGGCGAGGUAAUGGCCCACCAAGGCGAUGAUCGGUAU